UACAGAGGUCCCAAGCGUUGUUCGGAUUCACUGGGCGUAAAGGGUGCGUAGGUGGUUGCGCAAGUCUGAUGUGAAAUCUCCGGGCUCAACCCGGAAAUGGCAUUGGAAACUGCGUGGCUAGAGGGUUGGAGGGGGGACUGGAAUACUUGGUGUAGCAGUGAAAUGCGUAGAUAUCAAGUGGAACACCAGUGGCGAAGGCGGCUCACUGGCCCGGUACUGACGCUGAGGUGCGAAAGCGUGGGGAGCAAACAGG
Molecule: ribosomal RNA, 253 nt
Filed under: uncultured bacterium
Lineage: Bacteria
Description: partial 16S ribosomal RNA
Rfam family: Bacterial small subunit ribosomal RNA
Source: RNAcentral